CUGGCGGCGUGCCUAAUACAUGCAAGUCGAACGGUCUUUUCUAUGGAAGCUUGCUUCCACUGAGAAGAUAGUGGCGAACGGGUGAGUAACACGUGGGUAACCUGCCCAUAAGAGGGGGAUAACAUCCGGAAACGGGUGCUAAUACCGCAUAGUUUUCUUGAUCGCAUGAUCGGGAAAGGAAAGACGGCCUUUGUGCUGUCGCUUAUGGAUGGACCCGCGGCGUAUUAGUUAGUUGGUGAGGUAAUGGCUCACCAAGACGAUGAUACGUAGCCGACCUGAGAGGGUGAUCGGCCACAUUGGGACUGAGACACGGCCCAAACUCCUACGGGAGGCAGCAGUAGGGAAUCUUCCGCAAUGGACGAAAGUCUGACGGAGCAACGCCGCGUGAGUGAAGAAAGGUUUUCGGAUCGUAAAACUCUGUUGUCAGAGAAGAACAAGUUGGAGAGUAACUGCUCCAGCCUUGACGGUAUCUGACCAGAAAGCCACGGCUAACUACGUGCCAGCCGCAGC
Molecule: ribosomal RNA, 510 nt
Filed under: uncultured bacterium
Lineage: Bacteria
Description: bacterial SSU rRNA
Rfam family: Bacterial small subunit ribosomal RNA
Source: RNAcentral